Molecule: long non-coding RNA, 1536 nt
Organism: Equus caballus (horse)
Lineage: Eukaryota; Metazoa; Chordata; Mammalia; Perissodactyla; Equidae
Source: Ensembl
GCAGGCUAGGCAGAGUUUGUUCUCUUAAUGGAGAAUGUAAGGUGUACAAGAGAACAAGCCUAAUGAUUUGAGCAUACUUCAAGCCUCUGCUUGCAAUAUGUCUGCUAACAGCUCAUUGGCCAAAGCAAGUCACACGGUCAACUCCAACAUUGACAGGACAGAGAUAUAUUCUCUGCCUCUCGUGGUAGGAACUACAAAGACACAUGGUAAAGCACACGGAUUCAUGGAGGAGUGAAGAAUCAGAACUAUGAAGAAAUCUACUACAGUUGGACUUUGAGCAAUUCCAAGGUGCGUUUCUUCAUUUAGAAAGAAAUUGCCAACGCCAAUGAUGAACUCACUAUCACCCAUCUCAUGAGGAAUUCAUAACCAGCUGCUUUGAAUGGCUCUCGGCUUUUAUAGGCAUACUAAAGCUACCUUAAACCCAGAGAUGUUCCUGAAAACUGUUGCUUAAUUCGAAAACAAAUUCCUCCAUUAAAAUAACCCUACAGAAUUAAAUCGGUGCCAGAAUGGAAAAGAAGUUCUGAUGAGCCCCUAACCUUGACUGAAAAAUUCCCUCCAAGUGGAGAGAACACAAUUUUGAUAUGUUCCAAAGGGCAGAAAUAAAGAAGAAUUAGACUGAAGGCUUGGGCUUUCUUUUUUUGACCUGCUGUUGAAUGUAUCUAUGACUUUGGGGUAUCUUCUAGUGAGCAGUGGCCAUAUCUUUAUAGUGUGUAACCCUACAUGUAAGUUGCUCCCUCAAUAACUCCUUUCUAGAUGACCCAAGUCAAAAAUUUGACUCUUCCACUCCAGAUGCAAAGGUAGUUCACUGAGAGACUGUUCUAGAACAGCUGAGAUCCUCUAAUGUUCUCAUUUUCCCUCAGGCUUAGGAUUGCUCAUGAUCAUUAGUGAAAUCUUCAGAGCAGAUCCCACCAAAGGGCACUUUCUAUCACAUGGAGUGGUCUCGCCAAGCAAAGAUAAUGCGGCUGGCCAGUAAGAUGUGCUCCAAGUUGUCAUUUUAGGAAUAGUGAUAGGCAAAGACCUUCACCCAGCCUCUCAUCUAGCCCCACUUGUAACCAUCAAUCUCACUUGUGAUGUGACUGGCUGAACUGGCCUGAGUAAAACUAACUAACGUCAAAGAAGAUCACUUCUAUGGGCCCGUUUGGAAAUCAAGGCUUUGACUGCCUAACUCCAACCAACCGAGUUUACUGGCCCAAACCAUCUGUGAAAAUUCCAACAUCAGCACCUAAUAAAGGACAUUUUGUUGAUCUGAUGAGGGGAUCCCUUAAAGGCAGGAUUAUGAAUUACUAUUUCCCUGGUGAGUUGUUUUUGAAAAAACCCAAGCCUCCAGAAGAUGUUAACCAUCUUGGUCUAUUUGUUUUGAAUGUCAGCCAUUAAAGACCACGUGUGCUCUGGAGAGUGGAGAGUGCAGACUUUCCAUAGGAAAAAAGAAAAGGAGUGAGGAGAGGAAAUAACACUCACUGAGCACCUGAUCUGUGCUAGUUAAUUCCACUUAUUGAACCGUUUAAUCUUCGUGGCAACUCUGCAAGUUAAAUAGUA